UACAACAACGAGGUAUUAUGAAAUUAGAUAUUUUUGCUUAGUUGACGGUUAUACAAAGUAUAAGAAAGUCUACUUGACAGUGUGCAUGAUCGUAAAAGUAAAAAGAUCAUAAAAAGGGGAAAGUAUGAUGCUAACAAUAGCGUGAUAUCUUCGAAAUAUUUUUUAAUUAUUACGCAACGCUGAAAUUGUUAAGAUACGCUUUAUGCAUCAUUCAGCAACAUACCGUCUUUCAUGCAAUUCAUUCUGUGUAAGGAAUAAACUACGAUCGAAUAAGUUAAUUGUGCGCAUUACUAAACAACGUGUUAUAUCGUUACGCGUAAAACCAAUGCCUCCCUUGCGUUUUCGAUUUAAUUUUUCAAGCGUCGUUCUUUUCAGGUUCUUUAGCGGGUUCACCUUGAAACUUGUCGUUUUAAACGAAGCAUAAAAUUGUAGCAUCGAGCUGACAAAUUUAAAUCUCUCAACGGUGCUCUGCGACGUGCAUUUCAAUUACUUCAAUUAUCAUUCGAAUGAUAUAAAACUACGAGAGAAAUCGUUUCGAUUGUAAAUAUCAGUUUCCAACAGAUUCGACGUUCAGUCCACAGGGUCGAUUUUGUGAUAAAGAGAUUUCUACGGAAUAAAAGUGUGAAAUUGAAACAAUUUUCCUAGUAAAAUUGUACGCUUUGUCGCUCUUGUCCUAAACGUAAGCGAGAGAUUUAAAUUUUCGACCAGUUUGACGUUAGAAAAUAUUUUACUUGACCAGAGAAAUCGAAAUUUCAACGUUGCAUAAAUUCUGUUAUAAAAUUCAUCUACACGUUCCGUGACAUUGGACUCCGUCAAAAUUUAAAUUUCCCAUCGAUGUACUGGAUUUAAGCGUAACAAAACUUGCAAUUCUUGUAUAACGGAACGACGCUUUUAUAGAUUUGCACCUGUGUACGGCACUACGUUGUUCUUUGGUGUCAAGUGUAACGCCUAUCGAGCGCGAAGGUGCAGAAGAAUGUAUUAAAUAUGAGCAUUCUAUAGUUAACUGUUAGUGGAACACGCUGGAAUUGCAAAGUUUUACGUGUGCAACUUAUAAUACAAAACGAUGCAUAUUUACCAUGUUUAACCGCACUGUUGAAAUGAUACGCCGGAUCGAUCGAUGCGUCACAAGCACUUCUACAUAACUAGCCUUUUUUUAAAUAAAAGUUUCCAUCGCCUGAAUUAUAAUUACACUUGAAGAGAAACGAAUACUAUAGAGAAUACGUGUCAAGACUAUCAACUUCGAAGAUGAAUAUCUUCACUAGCUACUAAGGCUGGCUUCUCUAAAAAUGGAACUAUGUUUAGGUGAUAUGCCGAAUAACGCAUGGUAAAAACUUCAAGGAAAUCGCAGGAAUCUACGCUACAAACAUCUUCAACCGAAGUUACCGAGCCAAGGCACCUCAAUUUCUCAGCGAUCUGCACAUUGGCCAAGAACAAUCUUUUAAUCGCCAGUAAGCAAAAGACCAGGCCGAAAACGCAAUCUUUUUAUUCUUGACUUUCGUCUUAUCUUAGCUCCAAGAAUCAACCCCUAAAUCUUUUUACGCCCCGAGCACCCUGUGUAGUGUCAUGUGCGCAUCGCCUCAUAUAGUACGCCUCACACGGAAUUACCUGACCUUUACCGAUAGACAGAACGAUAUAUGCGCGUUUUACACAUUUAGGUGCGACUUUACAAUAAUCCGUUUGAAUUCUACGUGUAACAAAGUGGCAACGCCAAGGACGUGCGAUUGUAUUUUAUUAAUGUCGUUGUCAAUUUCUAACGUCAUAUACACCCUCGUUCAUAAGCGGAUAUUAAGAUGCCUCGUCGUCUUACCAACUGGCCUUAUUCGGAACGCAAUGGUGUUACUACUCUGACUACUGUUAUUAACGUUUUAGAAGCUCGAGCUAAAAGAAUAUUACAAUGAAAGCGACAAUGAAUUCAUCCCGCGUCUUAUACUUAGACGGUUUGAGACGCGAACGGAAUACAAUUCAACGCAGCUCGAUGUACUGAAAAUUUCUCUGAACGAUUUACCGGUAUAAAGCGAUAUUUAUGUAGAAUGCGCAAGUCAUUGGAAGAAUAUUACAUGUACGUUGUAUUUUGUCGCUUGCGAUUGUUUUCGUAUUGUUGUUGUUGAAAUACGGAUCAGUAAGAAAUAUUCGAGUACAAGCGACGAUAAAUUCUUCUCGCGUUUUACAUUUAGACGGUUUACGACGCAUACGGAAUACAAUUCGACGCAGUUUGAUGUAUUGGAAAUUUCUCAGAUUUAUCGGUACGAAAUAUUCAUGUAGAGCGCAUAAAUAAUUAAGAGAACGUUACAUCUACGUUGUAUUUUGUCGCUUGCGAUUGUUUUCGUAUUAUCGUUGUUGAAACAUGGACUGGCAGAAGAAGGUGGAAUUACAAAAAGACGCGCGUGUUUCGCUAGCCGAAAAUUCCCUCGUCUGAACAGUCGCAUCUCCAAUGUGGCGAUCGAGAAUACGUAGGAAACGUAGGAAAAAGAAAUUUAGUUUGAUUAUAUACGGUUAUCGAUGAGAUUGUUAAUAUAAAAUCGCAUAUGUGGACUGUUUACAGUUGAAGGAAUAAAAGGAAUUAAUGUAUUUCCAUAUGGAACCUGCACGAAUCUCAUUGAUUACUUAAAAUAAAUUGCGGAUAAACGAAAUUUUAAACUACAUAUCCUACAUGUCUUAAUACGUUAAUCGAUGGAAAUUGCUUGUUUGACAUUUCAACGUGACCAAAGGGUUAAUCUAUGCAAAAUUAUCGCAAAAGAAAUCCUAGUGCAGGAAAGUUUCUAAGCUCUAACUUUCUUCUUCGCGCAAGGUCGCUACAAAUCAAGCGAAUCGUACUUUCUAAGGGAGAACUUUAUUAAUCCUCGCUUGUACAACUACAAACGUAUCAAAAAAGAAAAAAGAAGAAAAGACAAAGAUAAGAAACAAGAAAAGAAGAAAAGAUAAAUUCCGUUUAUGUAACAACAAAUAAACGUAUUAAAGAUUCAUCGAUA
Bombus pyrosoma is the source of this 2969-nucleotide long non-coding RNA. RefSeq lists it as uncharacterized. The transcript has 2 exons. The record is from RefSeq and is a predicted model, not a curated record. Lineage: Eukaryota; Metazoa; Arthropoda; Insecta; Hymenoptera; Apidae.